GCAAUGUGGCUCUUCUUUUCAUUUGUUCGCGUGCCCUCGGAAUCUGUGGCAGAAGGCCCAGGGUCUGUUCUUUGAAGCCGAGUGGGUCGUCGUAAUUAGCAUAAUUUUGAACGCUAUUUUUUUUAUACUCAGCAGCAGCAGUAGAGCUAUCUCUGGCUGAAGAAAAGUUCAUCACUCGCCCGGUUCCUCAGCCACGAUUGCGACCACAGGCAUUAGUCGUAACUGAUAGUACCACCGGAAGCGCGCAGUCACUUUCAGCUUUUUGUGCAACCUAUUGAAAUAAAAGAUGACGACACAGCUACCAUCGGUGACCAGGUUUAAUAAAAGCUCUCAAUUGACAACAGCAGCAGCUGAAACAGUUCCAUCAGUACGGUUUCAUCAGUAUGGUUCCAUCAGUAUCAGCAUUGCAAAGAGCGCUGAGUUGGGUUUGAGUUCAAAUGAAAUCGAUUAUCGGAUCGGAAUCGGAGCUAACAUUCAGAAACUAACUCCGACUAAUUUGAACUUAUGCGAUUAGUUCACAUAGUUGGGCCAAACCAAGGAAUUGGCUAGCAGUGACAGCAGAACAUUGAUUGACGAAAGUAUCAGCCGGUAUGGAUUCCCGGACAGAAAAAUUGCAAACGAUAUACUGGAAUUGGUCAACGUCGAGAAGCUGGCUCGUGAUAAGUUAAAAUCCCCCUUCAAAAGAUUGUGGCUCCCGGAAGAAGAAGAGGGAAAAUGAGAUGACCAUGCCGCGCGCUUCAGUAACGAUUAUUUUUUUCAAGACAAUUGCGGUACUGCGUCUUCCGGUCACAAUAUCCAUAACGAAAACGACUGCGGACGGGAAUGCUUUCCGAAGGACUAGUUUGGGCUUUUUAAGCAUUAAAAAACAAAGUUAAACUCAAAAAGAAAUUAUCCAGAAAAGUGUUCGAAAU
Uranotaenia lowii is the source of this 911-nucleotide long non-coding RNA. RefSeq lists it as uncharacterized. The record is from RefSeq and is a predicted model, not a curated record. Lineage: Eukaryota; Metazoa; Arthropoda; Insecta; Diptera; Culicidae. The transcript has 3 exons.